GAUGAACGCUGGCGGCGUGCCUAAUACAUGCAAGUCGAGCGAACAGACGAGGAGCUUGCUCCUCUGACGUUAGCGGCGGACGGGUGAGUAACACGUGGAUAACCUACCUAUAAGACUGGGAUAACUUCGGGAAACCGGAGCUAAUACCGGAUAAUAUAUUGAACCGCAUGGUUCAAUAGUGAAAGACGGUUUUGCUGUCACUUAUAGCUGGAUCCGCGCCGCAUUAGCUAGUUGGUAAGGUAACGGCUUACCAAGGCAACGAUGCGUAGCCGACCUGAGAGGGUGAUCGGCCACACUAGAACUGAGACACGGUCCAGACUCCUACGGGAGGCAGCAGUAGGGAUUCUUCCGCAAUGGGCGAAAGCCUGACGGAGCAACGCCGCGUGAAUGAUGAAGGUCUUCGGAUCGUAGAACUCUGUUAUUAGGGAAGAACAAAUGUGUAAGUAACUAUGCACGUCUUGACGGUACCUAAUCAGAAAGCCACGGCUAGGUACGUG
This 497-nucleotide ribosomal RNA is filed under the name uncultured bacterium. Its description in RNAcentral is "partial 16S ribosomal RNA". It matches the Rfam family "Bacterial small subunit ribosomal RNA", at positions 28 to 507 of the family's 1533-position model. The record is from RNAcentral.